RNAcentral lists this ribosomal RNA (231 nucleotides) under uncultured bacterium. Its description in RNAcentral is "partial 16S ribosomal RNA". It matches the Rfam family "Bacterial small subunit ribosomal RNA", at positions 91 to 339 of the family's 1533-position model. The record is from RNAcentral.
CCUAGCGGCAGACGGGUGAGUAACAUGUGGGAAUCUGCCUUUUGGUUCGGAACAACACGGGGAAACCUGUGCUAAUACCGGAUAAUGUCUUCGGACCAAAGAUUUAUUGCCUUUAGAUGGGCCCGCGUUGGAUUAGAUAGUUGGUGGGGUAAUGGCCUACCAAGGCAACGAUCAAUAGCUGUUCUUAGAGGAAGACCAGCCACAUUGGGACUGAGACACGGCCCAAACUCC